GAGCACGUAGGUGGGUUUGUAAGUCAGAUGUGAAAGCCUUCUGUUCAACGGAAGAAUUGCAUCUGAAACUGCGAGUCUUGAGUGUAGGAGGGGAGAAUGGAACUACUGGUGGAGCGGUGAAAUGCGUAGAUAUCAGAAGGAACUCCGGCGGCGAAAGCGAUUCUCUGGCCUAUUACUGACACUCAGUGUGCGAAAGCUAGGGGAGCAAACGGGAUUAGAUACCCCGGUAGUCCUAGCCGUAAACGAUGGGCACUAAGUAGAGGGGUUUU
This 269-nucleotide ribosomal RNA is filed under the name uncultured Planctomycetales bacterium. RNAcentral describes it as "partial 16S ribosomal RNA". It matches the Rfam family "Bacterial small subunit ribosomal RNA", at positions 565 to 832 of the family's 1533-position model. The record is from RNAcentral. Lineage: Bacteria; Pseudomonadati; Planctomycetota; Planctomycetia; Planctomycetales.